UUUUUUUUUUGCAGUUGUUUCAGUUAUUCAAUUGCACAAGUCAAACCAUACUAUGUAUACACACUAAGCGAGCUGUCUUUUGAGGGGAUAUUUUCUGAUGGUAUGAGCUUGGUGUCAUAGGUUGGGAAUUCUGUUGGUUGUACGCAUGAUGGUCUAGGCAAUUCGUUUAUACUAAAUUUGGUCUUGGUGUUAUCAAAGCAAUAUCGGUACUGUUAAUAUUCGAUUGGUUGUAAAAGGGGAAGUGCAAAUUUUUACUCUAGAAGUUAAUGUGCUAUAUUGUAGGCAAGAUAGUGAAGAUAGAGAUCCAACCUAGGAACCAAAAGAGGUUCAUACAAGUUUUUUUAAACAUCAGCAUUCUAAUAUCUUGAAACAUAAACAAAUAUAUGAAAAAUAAAAUACAAUUUUAAAGUGUUCCAGCAUUAUGUAAAACAACAUGUUUAAGAUGAAUGAUAAACAUAACAUGGAUGAUAAUAAUGAUAAUAAUUAAAAAUGAUUCUUCUAAUUAGGAGUUAAAAUAAAUCUUAUAAUAUAAUCAAAGACAUUCUUAAAUGGUUUGCUAUAAAUCUUAUAAUAUAAAUAUCUUAUGAACCUUGUUGAGACUGAGAUACUGCAUGGGAAGGAGGACGGAUCCUCUGGUCCGCAAAUUGAGGAUUAGAGGAUGAUCCACUUUUUUAGACCCUUGAUUUGGAUGGACCCAUCUAUUUAAAGGUGGAGUUUAUCCAAAUCAAGGGUCCUCAUGCAAGGGACCAUCCCCUGGUCCAUAAUUUGCGGACCAGAGGAUCCCUACUGCAUGGGAAGGGAAGCACACACUAGGCAUUGGGCGUUAGCCAUUAGUCAUUAGAGUCAAAUUGUUUUAUAUGAGCCUAUCCGAAUCUAUUGGGUUAUAAGAUUGUAAUAUCCUAAGGUUCAGCUAACAAUUUAAACUACCAUGAUUGUAGGCACUAAGUUAUGUUGUGCCAUUGUAUUCUUUGAAACCAAGUGGUCUACGUUGUCAUUUGAGGCACUAGAAUACAUCAUCAGUAUCUAUUAUACUAGGAUGUUGUUAUUGAAAUAGAUUAUCACUAAUGCUCAAAAUUCACUCUGGAAUUUGUUCUAUUAUUCUAUUCAAUUGUUUUUAGGUAACCAAGUGAAAACAUAUGCUAAUUUGAAGUAAAAGGAAAAAAGCAUUCAAAUGUCCUAAUUGACCAUUCAACUAUCUGAUACUUUGGUACAAUCGAGGAUAUUAAGAUCAAAUGGUAUAGCCACAAGCACCGGAAGUUCCUAGAUAAUCAGUUACACUAGUUGUAUAGAACUAUUGUUUGGUUUGAACUGUUGUUUAGUAAACCAAGUGAACUUCUUGGAAUAGAACAAAUAAAAGGAAAUGAAGUAUUUUAACUGCAUGGUUGAUGGUUGUCUUAAUAUCUGUUGUGUCUAAAAAAUUAUUUUUUAUCACAAUGCCAAAUCCCUAAUCUACCAUCUACAAUGAAAAUUUGCCAUCCAAUGAUCUUGUAAUGAGAUACCAGAAAUUGGAGAUCUGCGGAGUUUAAAGGAGAUGAUUUUUUUUUUUGUGAAAAAGCCAUUGUGGUAGUAUUUGUUUUUUGAGUUACAUGGUAAUUCUGCUAGUGAGUAUACUUCCUAGUUCGAAUCUCUACUAUAAAAAUGCAAGGGAAGCAAGGUUCAAGUAUAAGUCUAGAUUUUGAAUAUGAAUACACAAAUAAACAAAAUUAUAGUGUAUGUCUUUAUUUGACAUAAGCUUUGCUUAUUUGUAAUUCUUCUCUUGUUGUCUACUAGUUAAUUUGAAGGUUUUGCUGACUGUAAUCUUUCAAGUUUUGUUGAAGUUGCAUUUUGACUUGAUCUAAGAAAUUUUGCAAAAAUUCCCUUUACCUAUUUGUAUGAAUUAAUAUAUUAUACUUUGUACAGUUGCAUACAUAAUCAAAUAGAUUCUAAUCUGUUCCAGUGUAUUUAGUGAAACUAGACUAUUGUUUCAGAUGUUAUGUUAGUUUUUCCGUAGUGCUAAAUUUGGUUUUUCAGGUUGCAAAAAGUACCAUCCUUUGACUUGGCUCAAAUUGGCUUUAAUCUUGGUUGAGACAAGUCAGGGCAUGGGGGAAGUGAUGGAUUGCAUGGAUAUGUUGAUUCCCUUGAUUAUGCAAUCAGUGAUUUGAAAGCAUUUCUGCAAAAGGUUUUGGCAGAGAAUCCUAGGCUACCUUGCUUUUGCUUCGGCCAUUCAACCGGUGGAGCUAUUGUUCUGAAGGCGAUUUGUGAUCCAAAGAUAGAAGGCUGGAUUAGUGGUAUCGCAUUGACAUCACCGGCUGUCUAUGUUCACCCUUCACAUCCGAUAAUAACGACAAUAGUAGCUCCAGUUUUCUGUCUUCUAGCCCCGAAGUACCAAUUUAGCAGCGCAAGUAAUAGCACAUCACCAGUUUCCCGCGAUCCUGAAGCCCUCAAGCACAAGUACACCGACCCGCUGGUGUUCACUGGCUCUGUCCGAGUCAAGACUGGUUAUGAGAUCUUGCGCUCAUCAGCCUACCUGAAGCAGAAUCUGUACAGAGUUACUGUCCCUUUCCUAGUGCUCCAUGGGACUUCCGACGAUCUGACCGACCCCAAAGGUUCUCAAAGAUUGUUCGAUGAAGCUUCCUCGACCGACAAGUCCAUCAAACUAUACCCAGGGCUUCUACAUGAUCUUCUUAUCGAACCUGAACGCGUUGAGAUUAUGGCAGACAUUAUCGACUGGUUCAGCUGCAGAGUUCAUCAGUCUGACUGUGUUUGGGCAAGUGAAUAACUCUGAUUAACAUCAAGGCGACUAGUUCAUUGAGCCGACCUCUGUUUUUUUCUUCUUGGUUGGCCAGUUUUUAGUCUAAAAAGAUAAACAACAACCGAUGUAGCCAGCCAGUAGCUGACAAUUAUAUAUAUAGUUACAUGGUCACUACAAGAAAAUUUCCAAUAUGAAGAUAUAUAUAUAUAUAUAUAUAUAUAUAUAUAUAUAUAUAUAUAUGAAGAGAUUGAAUCUGGAAAUCAUCAGAUUUCUCUUCUUGGAUGGCAAUGCACCAAGCAGGAUUAUGUUUAACUAUGAAUGUCAUUUCCUGGACCAUAGGAAGAAUGAUCUGUAUGGUUUCAUGUGAACCUUUCUAAGUACUUAAGAACAUUGUAUUUUAAUUAACUGAACCUUUUCCAAAUAGCAGAGGCUUAUUAGUUGACGUUUCA
Zingiber officinale is the source of this 3180-nucleotide RNA transcript. It is a transcript of the gene named monoacylglycerol lipase-like, with no coding region annotated. NCBI's taxonomy places the organism in Eukaryota, Viridiplantae, Streptophyta, Magnoliopsida, Zingiberales, Zingiberaceae. The transcript is spliced from 5 exons. The record is from RefSeq and is a predicted model, not a curated record.